RNAcentral lists this ribosomal RNA (201 nucleotides) under Charinus sp. 1 GSM-2017. RNAcentral's name for it is "partial small subunit ribosomal RNA". Lineage: Eukaryota; Metazoa; Arthropoda; Arachnida; Amblypygi; Charinidae. The record is from RNAcentral.
AGUAUUAGGGAGACUUGAAACCUAAAAUUUUUGGCGGUCUUUUAGACUAGUUAGAGGAACCUGCUUUUUGAUGGAUGAUCCUCCUUAAAUUUUAUUUUCUUUUUAAAUACCGCCGUCAAUGACAGGUCAAGGUUUAGCUGAUGGGAAAGGUUGAAAGUGGAUUUAAAUGUUUAUGGAGGGAAAUUGAGCCCUAAAAGAUGU